RNAcentral lists this ribosomal RNA (2888 nucleotides) under Microgenomates bacterium SCGC AAA040-P11. RNAcentral describes it as "bacterial LSU rRNA". It matches the Rfam family "Bacterial large subunit ribosomal RNA". The record is from RNAcentral. Lineage: Bacteria; Candidatus Microgenomatota.
CAUAACGCAAUCAGUGGAUGCCUUGGCAAUAAGAGCCGAUGAAGGACGUUUCAAGCCUGCGAAAGUCGUCGGGUAGGUGGCAAGAACUGUUAAUCCGACGGUGUCCGAAUGGGGUAACCCACUCUAGGUUAUACUAGAGUACUCGCUUUGGCGAGUGGGAACCUGGGGAACUGAAAUAUCUUAGUACCCAGAGGAAAAGAAAUCGAACGAGAGCUCCUUAGUAAGCGACGAGCGAAAAGGGGUGAGUCUAAACCUGAUAUUUAUAUUAGGGGUUGCAGGACUGACAAUAUUUGUUUUACGAAGUAGCAGAACAUUUUGGAAUAAAUGACCAUAGAAAGUGAAAGUCUCGUAUGCAAAACAGAAGUAAAACAAUAGUUAGAUUCCUAAGUAGGUCUGGAGACGGCAAACUCUAGAUUGAAUCUGGGCCGACCACGGUCCAAGACUAAUUACUCUUAUUGACCGAUAGUGAACUAGUACCGUGAGGGAAAGGUGAAAUAGUAGGGUUGGUAGCCCGUUUAAAAGUACCUGAAACUGAUUGCUAACAAGCAGUCAAAGUCUUUAAUUUAUUAAGGAUAAUGGCGUGCCUAUUGAAGAAUGAGCCGGCGAGUUAUUCCAUACAGCAAGAUUAAACUAGUUUCUAGUGAAGUCGAAGGAAAACCGAGUCCUAACAGGGCGUCAAGUUGUGUGGUAUAAACCCGAAACCGAGUGAGCUAACCAUGAGCAGGGUGAAGCUAGAUUAAUUUCUAGUGGAGGCCCGCACCGUUGUCAGUCGCAAAUGGCUCGGAUGACUUGUGGUUAGAGGUAAUAUGCCAAACGAACUCGGAAAUAGCUGGUUCUCCCCGAAACACGUCUAGGCGUGGGCUUAUGUUAAAAAACAGGGGGGUAAAGCACUGAAUGGAUUUAAGGGGUAAAACCUUUACUUCCAAUCAAACUCAGAAUACCCUGUUUUAUUGCAUGGGACUCAGUGUCUGGGGGCUAAGCUCCAGAGGCGAAAGGGAAACAUCCCAGAUCUUCAGGUAAGGUCUCUAAAUAUAUAUUAAGUGGAAAAGGAUGCAUCAUCUCUCAAACACCUAGGAGGUCGGCUUAGAAGCAGCCAUCCUUGAAAGAAAGCGUAACAGCUCACUAGCCGAGAGAUAUGUGACCGAAGAUGUAACGAGGCUAAAAUAUAUUACCGAACCUAAGAAUUUAUGUACUUUGUAUGUAAGUGGUAGGGGAGCGUUCUUGUAACAUUGAAGGCAAAUUGUAAAGUUUGUUGGAGUGACAAGAAGUGAGAAUGCCGGCAUGAGUAACGAGAUGGAAGUGAGAAUCUUCCACACCGAAUACCCGAGGUUUCCAACGCCAUGUUUGUCAGCGUUGGGUUAGGCGACCCUAAGGUGAGGCCAAAAGGCGUAACCGAUGGAUAACCGGUUAAUAUUCCGGUCCUUAUCUGGUUUUGUUUUAAGUUGGGGCGGGACGAAGUUGGAUAAUUCGAGCAGUGUGUUGAAUAUACAUUGUUUAAGCAGUAAGGCAGUUUUGGUAGGCAAAUCCACCAAAAUGUUAACACAAGCUGUAAAUACAAUUCUGAGAGUAAUCGAAGAAGAGUUGGAGUACUUCAGUUUCCGAGAAAAGCGUCGCAACUAGAAAUCAGAUAAUCCGUACCUAAAACCGACACAGGUGGGUAGGUCGAGUAGACUAAGGUGGACGAGCGAAUCUUUCUUAAGGAACUAGGCAAAUUAGCUGGGCGUAAGCUAUGCGAGAUGCCCUGCCCAGGGUGUGCUUGCACAAACUGGGUCACAGCAAAUGAUUGAGGGGGGACUGUUUAUCAAAAACACAGGUCUGUGCUAAAGCGAAAGCUGAAGUAUACGGGCUGCAACCUGCCCACUGCCGGAAGGUUAAAUGAGAGAGUGAUUAAUUUUCGGAUUAUGAGCUUUUGAUUGAAGCCCCGGUGAAUGGCGGCUUUAACUAUAAGAGUCCAAAGGUAGCGAAAUUCCUUGUCACUUAAUUGGUGACGUGCACGAAUGGUUUAACCACCCUUCAACUGUCUUGAGAAAGAGCUCGGUGAAAUUGAAAUGGCUGUGAAGAUGCGGCCUACUGACAGCAGGACAAAAAGACCCUGUGCAGCUUUACUACUACUUGGCAUUGACAUACAUAUAGUAAUUGUCGAGAAUAGGAGGGAGAAAUAGAUACUUGUAUCAAUUUCGUCAGUGGAAUACCUCUCUUUUCUUUAUAUAUUUCUUACCUAAGAUGUUUGCAAACAAUAUCAGGGACACUGUCUGGAAGGUAGUUUAACUGGGGAGGUUGCUUGCUAAAGAGUAACGCAAGCGUGCAAAGGUACCCUUAUUCCCGAUGGAAAUGGGAAUACAAGCAUAUAGGUAUAUGGGUGCUUAACUGUGAGACAUACAAGUCAAGCAGAUACGAAAGUAGGCCUAAGUGAUCCUCGUGAGCUUCGUGGGAAGCUCCGGGCCUAACGGAUAAAAGCUACGCCAGGGAUAACAGAGUAGUUGCGCCUGAGCGUCCAUAGCGACGGCGCAGUUCGCUACCUCGAUAGACCUUGAACGAAUGUCGAGGAUAAAGUUGGCUAAUAACGAAGAAUGCCUUGAAAAAUGAACAAUUUAAGGUUGACCUCGUGGGAAGUCAUUAUUGACCCCGUAGAGACUGAUAUUACUUUUUAAAGUAAUUGAGAUAAUUUUUCAUUGAAUAAUUAUACAUACGCCAACUCAUUUUAUAUUUACCAAAGGGAUUAAUAAAAGGUGUGUAAAAUGAAAGAUAUAGUCCAAACCACUAGUAAUAGAUGGAGUUAUUUGGUCGGCUCAGCGCAUCCUGGGGGUGAAGAAGCUCCCAAGGGUUGGUCUGUUCGCCCAUUAAAGCGCUACGUGAGCUGGGUUCAGACCGUCGUGAGACAGGUCGGU